RNAcentral lists this long non-coding RNA (328 nucleotides) under Ananas comosus (pineapple). RNAcentral describes it as "long non-coding RNA (ACOM_LNC000682)". Lineage: Eukaryota; Viridiplantae; Streptophyta; Magnoliopsida; Poales; Bromeliaceae. The record is from RNAcentral.
CAUGGCUUCAAAUGAUGCAACAUUUAAGCUUUUCUAAUAAAAAUUUUAGAUUCUCAUUAAAUAGUUUAAUAUAGUUUUAAUUGGUGCAAAUAUGAUUUAAAGUUUAAAAUUUUUGUAAUGCAUUGAACUUUUGCAAAUAGCAGAGUUUUAGUGAGAAAUAGGAAUUGAUACUAUUUUGAUGGUCUUGGUGGUGUUUGGAGAGUCAUAGAGUGUUUUUGGCAUGAAAUGACACAAAAACAGACUUCAGAGGAUAAAAUAUAUAAAACUAUAGAUCUGUUGUUACCAAUACUGUAAAUGGAGUACCAGUACCUAGUUGUGGGAUGACUAG